This 515-nucleotide ribosomal RNA is filed under the name uncultured bacterium. RNAcentral's name for it is "partial 16S ribosomal RNA". It matches the Rfam family "Bacterial small subunit ribosomal RNA", at positions 28 to 523 of the family's 1533-position model. The record is from RNAcentral.
GAUGAACGCUGGCGGCGUGCCUAAUACAUGCAAGUCGAGCGAAUGGAUUAAGAGCUUGCUCUUAUGAAGUUAGCGGCGGACGGGUGAGUAACACGUGGGUAACCUGCCCAUAAGACUGGGAUAACUCCGGGAAACCGGGGCUAAUACCGGAUAACAUUUUGAACCGCAUGGUUCGAAAUUGAAAGGCGGCUUCGGCUGUCACUUAUGGAUGGACCCGCGUCGCAUUAGCUAGUUGGUGAGGUAACGGCUCACCAAGGCAACGAUGCGUAGCCGGCCUGAGAGGGUGACCGGCCACACUGGGACUGAGACACGGCCCAGACUCCUACGGGAGGCAGCAGUAGGGAAUCUUCCGCAAUGGACGAAAGUCUGACGGAGCAACGCCGCGUGAGUGAUGAAGGCUUUCGGGUCGUAAAACUCUGUUGUUAGGGAAGAACAAGUGCUAGUUGAAUAAGCUGGCACCUUGACGGUACCUAACCAGAAAGCCACGGCUAACUACGUGCCAGCCGCCGCAGUAA